AGUUAAUGAGCUUGAACAAGCUUAUGUUUUGAAAGCAUAAGAUAGAAACAUUAAAUUUCUAUUAACUU
RNAcentral lists this transfer RNA (68 nucleotides) under Parochlus steinenii. Its description in RNAcentral is "tRNA-Ser". Lineage: Eukaryota; Metazoa; Arthropoda; Insecta; Diptera; Chironomidae. The record is from RNAcentral.